GGACUACCGGGGUAUCUAAUCCUGUUUGCUCCCCACGCUUUCGCGCCUCAGCGUCAGUCUCGGUCCAGAGAGCCGCCUUCGCCACCGGUGUUCUUCCCAAUAUCUACGAAUUUCACCUCUACACUGGGAAUUCCACUCUCCUCUCCCGAACUCCAGCCCACCCGUCUCGCGCGCCAUUCCCAGGUUGAGCCCGGGGCUUUCACACGCGACUAGGCCGGCCGCCUACGCGCCCUUUACGCCCAGUGAUUCCGAACAACGCUCGCCCCCUUCGUAUUACCGCGGCUGCUGGCAC
This 292-nucleotide ribosomal RNA is filed under the name uncultured bacterium. RNAcentral's name for it is "partial 16S ribosomal RNA". The record is from RNAcentral.